ACUGAUGUGGCAGAAUAAGUGCAUUAAAUUUAAAAUUUAAUUAUAAAUAUAAAUUAUUUCUUCAGUA
This 67-nucleotide transfer RNA is filed under the name Ibidoecus bisignatus (glossy ibis head louse). RNAcentral describes it as "tRNA-Leu". Lineage: Eukaryota; Metazoa; Arthropoda; Insecta; Psocodea; Philopteridae. The record is from RNAcentral.